GAUCCUGGCUUAGGAUGAACGCUAGCUACAGGCUUAACACAUGCAAGUCGAGGGGCAGCAUGGACCCAGCUUUGCUGGGUUUGAUGGCGACCGGCGCACGGGUGAGUAACGCGUAUCCAACCUGCCCUUUACUCCGGGAUAGUCUCCUGAAAGGGAGUUUAAUACCGGAUGUGUUUGUCUUUCCGCAUGGGAGCGACAAAUAAAGAUUAAUUGGUAAAGGAUGGGGAUGCGUCCCAUUAGCUUGUUGGCGGGGUAACGG
Molecule: ribosomal RNA, 259 nt
Filed under: uncultured bacterium
Lineage: Bacteria
Description: partial 16S ribosomal RNA
Rfam family: Bacterial small subunit ribosomal RNA
Source: RNAcentral